CCUCUCAUCACAACCUCUGGAAUAGCUGCAACUACAGAAGGUUACCUGGAGACUUUGGCAAGAGCCACAGCAGUUCCUAAAAGGAAAAGAAACCUCAAAGGAGAAUGUUAAUCUCCCCGAUCAGCUCCAGCUCUCCCUGGAAACAUCCUUUUCUAUGUAACAGCCUAAAUCAUCCUAAAGAGGACAUUCUCCAACAUUAGCAUACCUAACAAUCAACACGGAGAUUUCCAGGACCUGUUCCAGAAACACGGAUUCAGUAGGUUUAGGGUGGAAGUUUGGAAUCUGCCUUUUAACCAACUCCCUGCUAUGGACUGAAUUGUUUCACCCCAAAAUUCAUAUAUUGAAGCCCUCACCCCUAAUGUGAUGGCAUUUGAAGAUGGGGCCUUUGGGAGGUCAUUAUGUUUAGAUGAGGUCGUGAGGAAGGGAGCCCCAUGAUGGAUGGGAUUAGUGCCCUCAUAAGAAGACAUGCCAGAGAGCUCUCUCUACUCUCAAGUACCCAGGAAAGGCCAUAACAAGACACAGCCAGAAGACAGCUAUCUGCAAGCCAGGAAGCGCCCUCACCAAACAGACACGGACCCUGCUAGCACCUUGCUCUUGGGCAUUCAGCCUCCAGAAUUGGGAGACGAUCAAUUCCUGCUGUGAAGGUAUUUUAUUAAGGCAGCCAAAGCUGACUGAGAUACUUCCCCGAUCACUGUGAUGUCCAGUGCCGAGGGCCUAUGCUUUGAAAAUCAAUAUUCUAGUCUUAGGCCAAAACUCUCCUCCCUGCUUCCCCAGCCACUCCUUGAGCUUUCUUCUUCCUCAUGGCCCUCUCGGCCAUCUGGACAGGCUUCUUCCUGGAUACAAGUCACAUGAAUGUCACUGACCUGUGACUUUGUCUUUGUUUCCUGAGUGCAUCACACAGUACAUGGCCUACGGCAGGCAUUCAGAAAAUAUUGAUUUCAUGAAUGAAUAGGUGAAUGAAUGAGUGAGCAAAUGAAUGAAUUUAUAUCACAUAGAAUAAUUAACUUCCCUUUUAGUAUCUCCCUAAUCCUUCCAACUCUAACUUGAGGAAGCUAUGACUUGCUUUCAAGAUCAUUUUCCAGGCCUGGCGCGGUGGCUCACGCCUGUAAUCCCAGCACUUUGGGA
This 1125-nucleotide long non-coding RNA is filed under the name Homo sapiens (human). RNAcentral describes it as "HSALNT0317267". Lineage: Eukaryota; Metazoa; Chordata; Mammalia; Primates; Hominidae. The record is from RNAcentral.